RNAcentral lists this ribosomal RNA (322 nucleotides) under Vibrio cholerae. RNAcentral's name for it is "partial 23S ribosomal RNA". It matches the Rfam family "Bacterial large subunit ribosomal RNA", at positions 296 to 629 of the family's 2925-position model. The record is from RNAcentral. Lineage: Bacteria; Pseudomonadati; Pseudomonadota; Gammaproteobacteria; Vibrionales; Vibrionaceae.
CUGGAUUAGCCCUUAAGCACUCGGUGAAGUAGGUGAACAAGCUGGAAAGCUUGGCGAUACAGGGUGAUAGCCCCGUAACCGACGCUUCAUCGAGCGUGAAAUCGAGUAGGGCGGGACACGUGAUAUCCUGUCUGAAUAUGGGGGGACCAUCCUCCAAGGCUAAAUACUCCUGACUGACCGAUAGUGAACCAGUACCGUGAGGGAAAGGCGAAAAGAACCCCUGUGAGGGGAGUGAAAUAGAACCUGAAACCGUGUACGUACAAGCAGUAGGAGCACCUUCGUGGUGUGACUGCGUACCUUUUGUAUAAUGGGUCAGCGACUU